AUUGAACGCUGGCGGCAGGCCUAACACAUGCAAGUCGAACGAGUGGCGGACGGGUGAGUAAUGUCUGGGAAACUGCCUGAUGGAGGGGGAUAACUCCUGGAAACGGUAGCUAAUACCGCAUACCAUCGGAUGUGCCCAGAUGGGAUUAGCUAGUAGGUGGGGUAAAGGCUCACCUAGGCGACGAUCCCUAGCUGGUCUGAGAGGAUGCCCAGCCAGACUGGAACUGAGACACGGUCCAGACUACGAAGGGAGGCAGCAGUGGGGAAUAUUGCACAAUGGGCGAAAGCCGGAUGCAGCCAUGCCGCGUGUAUGAAGAAGGCCUGCGGGUGGGAAAGUACUUUCAGCGGGGAGGCGUUACCCGCAGAAGAAGCACCGGCUAACUCCGUGCCAGCAGCCGCGGUAAUUC
RNAcentral lists this ribosomal RNA (406 nucleotides) under uncultured bacterium. RNAcentral describes it as "partial 16S ribosomal RNA". It matches the Rfam family "Bacterial small subunit ribosomal RNA", at positions 29 to 526 of the family's 1533-position model. The record is from RNAcentral.